AUGAGCUAGAUAUAUGUAGAAGAAUAUUUGAUAUAAUUGUGUCGAUGAUUUGGUUGGGGAAAUGCAAACUAAAGAAAUUUUGCUUUUUAGUAAAUUUAAAAUAGCUUAACGAUGGGAUUCCUUUAGUGUUUUCUCCACGUAUGUGGAGG
RNAcentral lists this small RNA (149 nucleotides) under Lactobacillus acidophilus. RNAcentral's name for it is "crRNA leader". Lineage: Bacteria; Bacillati; Bacillota; Bacilli; Lactobacillales; Lactobacillaceae. The record is from RNAcentral.